GAAACUGGUUCCUCCCAAUGUGGUAACCAUCGAGCCCCAGGGGGAAGACAGCAGCUAAAGCCAGUGAGCAGCCCACAGCAGUCAGGAACAUGAUCAGUAUCUCAGAGAGGCAGACAAGGAAAACGUCAGAAGAGAAACUUACCGGACAUGUGAGUUGUAGAUGUUAAAGGACAGACAGACAACAGCUAGGACAAUGCCCAGGCUGGAGAGAACUGAGACGGAGAUAAAGAGUUUCUGUGACAGGAAGCGGAAUGUCUUGAUGACCAGGGUCUGGUCAGCUGGGGGGGACC
This 290-nucleotide long non-coding RNA is filed under the name Homo sapiens (human). Its description in RNAcentral is "HSALNT0103572". Lineage: Eukaryota; Metazoa; Chordata; Mammalia; Primates; Hominidae. The record is from RNAcentral.